CCUUACACAUGCAGUCGAACGGCAGCGCGGACUUCGGUCUGGCGGCGAGUGGACAUUUGGUGAGUAUACAUCGGAACGUACCCUGUUGUGCCCUAUAACUAGUCGAAAGAUUAGCUAAUACCGCAUACGACCUGAGGGUGAAAGCGGGGGACCGCAAGGCCUCGCGCAGCAGGAGCGGCCGAUGUCUGAUUAGCUAGUUGGUGGGGUAAAGGCCCACCAAGGCGACGAUCAGUAGCUGGUCUGAGAGGACGAUCAGCCACACUGGGACUGAGACACGGCCCAGACUCCUACGGGAGGCAGCAGUGGGGAAUUUUGGACAAUGGGGGCAACCCUGAUCCAGCAAUGCCGCGUGUGUGAAGAAGGCCUUCGGGUUGUAAAGCACUUUUGUCCUGAAAGAAAACGUUCUGGUUAAUACCUGGGGCGGAUGACGGUACCGGAAGAAUAAGCACCGGCUAACUACGUGCCAGCAGCCGCGGUAAUACGUAGGGUGCGAGCGUUAAUCGGAAUUACUGGGCGUAAAGCGUGCGCAGGCGGUUUUGUAAGACAGGCGUGAAAUCCCCGAGCUCAACUUGGGAAUUGCGCUUGUGACUGCAAGGCUAGAGUAUGUCAGAGGGGGGUAGAAUUCCACGUGUAGCAGUGAAAUGCGUAGAGAUGUGGAGGAAUACCGAUGGCGAAGGCAGCCCCCUGGGACGUCACUGACGCUCAUGCACGAAAGCGUGGGGAGCAAACAGGAUUAGAUACCCUGGUAGUCCACGCCCUAAACGAUGUCAACUAGUUGUUGGGGAUUCAUUUUCUCAGUAACGUAGCUAACGCGUGAAGUUGACCGCCUGGGGAGUACGGUCGCAAGAUUAAAACUCAAAGGAUUGACGGGGACCCCACAAGCGGUGGAUGAUGGGGAUUAUUCGAUGCACGCGAAAAACCUACCUACCCUUGACUGCCACUAACAAGCAAAGUGCAUCAGGGGCCAAAGGGAAGUGGACACGGUGCUGCUGGCUGUCGUCACUCUGUCGGGAAUGUUGGGUUAUUCCCGCACCAGCGCACCUUUACUUUGUUGCUACCAAGGGCCCUUUAAAAAAGGCCGGGAAAACCGGAAAAGGGGGGGAAGAC
This 1107-nucleotide ribosomal RNA is filed under the name uncultured Ralstonia sp. RNAcentral describes it as "bacterial SSU rRNA". It matches the Rfam family "Bacterial small subunit ribosomal RNA", at positions 47 to 1183 of the family's 1533-position model. The record is from RNAcentral. Lineage: Bacteria; Pseudomonadati; Pseudomonadota; Betaproteobacteria; Burkholderiales; Burkholderiaceae.